This 496-nucleotide ribosomal RNA is filed under the name uncultured bacterium. RNAcentral describes it as "partial 16S ribosomal RNA". It matches the Rfam family "Bacterial small subunit ribosomal RNA", at positions 28 to 507 of the family's 1533-position model. The record is from RNAcentral.
GACGAACGCUGGCGGCGUGCCUAAUACAUGCAAGUUGAGCGCUGAAGGUUGGUACUUGUACCAACUGGAUGAGCAGCGAACGGGUGAGUAACGCGUGGGGAAUCUGCCUUUGAGCGGGGGACAACAUUUGGAAACGAAUGCUAAUACCGCAUAAAAACUUUAAACACAAGUUUUAAGUUUGAAAGAUGCAAUUGCAUCACUCAAAGAUGAUCCCGCGUUGUAUUAGCUAGUUGGUGAGGUAAAGGCUCACCAAGGCGAUGAUACAUAGCCGACCUGAGAGGGUGAUCGGCAACAUUGGGACUGAGAAACGGCCAAAACUCCUACGGGGGGCAGCAGAAGGAAUCUUCGGCAAUGGACGAAAGUCUGACCGAGCAACGCCGCGUGAGUGAAGAAGGUUUUCGGAUCGUAAAACUCUGUUGGUAGAGAAGAACGUUGGUGAGAGUGGAAAGCUCAUCAAGUGACGGUAACUACCCAGAAAGGGACGGCUAACUACGUG